CAGACAAUUCACCAUGUUCUAUCAAUGAGUGUUGGGCAGCACUCUGUUCUUUGUAGUGGUGUGCCGGGGAGGCAGCACCAAGGCGGGGGAGGCAGGCAGGAUUAACAUACUGGUGAGAAAGGCUGCCUCUGUUGUGUGGCUGAACAUGGACAGCCUGAAGGCAUAGGCAGAGGGAGGAUGACGACCAAAUUGAACUCUGUCUUCAACAACACCUCCAACCCUUCUGUGAACUGAUGCAGAGACCCCCUUUCAGCCUCCACCCCUGUCCUGCAAGGUGCCUUGCAGAGCACCUUUGAGUGUUCCUUUGUGCUGUCAGACUUUACAGCACUCCCUCAUCUUCCUUCCAGUCUCGACUGACUAGUUGUUUUUGAGGAACAACAUCUGCAUGACAGCAUCUAUACAAACUGCCCUGGACUCCUUCUUUGAGUUAAUCUGCAUGCCAUCUUAACUGCACAUACCUAUGCAGAUCACUGCGACCUCACUUGAAGCAGAGGGAAACAGGUAACAUAGCUUCGCCUGAAGUAAAAGGAACAAGGAACAAUAUUUUACCUGUGGCUUAUUUAAACACCAGGACAUGUGGUUCAUUGUUGCAGAGAGACUCAGAGGGUGAAAUCACGGCCUGUUUUGUCAUCAUUAGUCAUGAGGCCCAACUGCUGGUGUGUAACUAUGGAUGAGUAAGCUUUGUAGAACAACAACAACAAAAAAUACAGACGGCAUAGUAGGCCUACCCACACUUCAGCACUGUAUGUUCUGUAUUGUUUCCAAUCCAAUAACUUAGAGCUAAUUAUGAGUGAAUGUGUGUCUCUGAUUCACUUGAAACCACAAGUUCAAUCUGUAUUAUUCUCGAGUCGAUUACAGAUAAGACACAUGACAUUUCCAGAAAGACUGGCUCCGCACUAAAACACCCUUAAGUGCUUUAUUACUUUUUCUUGUUCUGAUAAGAACAGAAUCAUUUUCAUUUCAGGGAAGGCUGUCAAGUUGGAGUGCCCAGGUAACUUUAGCACUGAAUUAAAGAAAAAGAAAAAAACCUAGUGGAAACUUCUGAGUUGAUAAAUGAUCAGGUUUACAUGAAAAGUUCUAUUGUAAUGAAAAACAAUAAAAGUGGGCCUUUUUAAGUCAUGUUAGUGAUGAUCCCUUAACUUUUCAUCAAGAGUUAUUAUUAGGCCAAAAUAUUAUUUUCUCCAAUACUUUGGUUUAAAUGAAAUCAAAUACCUGCAAAACUAUAUCAAGCUAAGCUUUGUGUUUAGCCCUAAUUAGCAAAUGUUAACAUUUGCUAAUUAGAUGGUGUACUUGGUAAACAUUGCAUCAGCAUGAGCAUGUUAGCAUGUCGCUCAAAGCGCUGUGCUCAAAGCCUCACCACAGACACAUCCUUGAGCCUCACAGAGCUGCUACCAUGGCUGUAGUCUUGUUAUAAUAUAGACUAAAUGCUUUUUUUAACUUUGGAUUUUGUUAUGAAUAUGAAAGGACGUCUCGUCCUGUGAGUAUGUGUAUUCAUUGGGUAAGAUGUAGAAAAAAACAACAAUACAGUGCUCUGUCUAGAGUUAAUGACAGCCUGGUGUCUGACGCAAUGUUUUACCCAAACAUUGAGAUCAAACUCAGGUCGUAUGCCAGAGGUCUGCGUCCACCAUUGAACAUCACCGCCUGCUGCAGAGAUGAGAAAACUCAUCGAUCUAAAUCCACUUGUGGUGUUUCAUGCUUUUGUAGGUCUUUGUUUUUUUUCUGGGCCUUGAGAGCCCGACCUUGACACGACAGGCCAGCCAGAUUGUUAAAGUGGUCAGGCUGUCCUGUGCUUAAAGAGGAUCUCUCCCAUUACAAACAGAAGUGAAGAGGCCAAUCAAAUCACUGUUCCCGCCUGAGAACUUUAUGUCAGUGCCAGACACUGUGCUGUUUGGACUCUGCACACUGGGGGAGUGGUGCUGGGAUUUGGGAAUGUACAAAAGGUCUCUUGAAUCAUCAGAUUGUUGCAGCUACAGAGAGAGAUGGUUCAAUGUUUCCCCCUGAGUGAGAUUUUUUUUUUUUUUUAAAUAAUAACUACUGCUGCAUGUUACCUUUGUGGAGGUUCAGUUGUAUAAGCUGCAGCUGAUUUCCUCACUGUCUCUUUUGGCCUUCUUGCGCUUGACACCCAGUGGGAAUUGAUAAACACUUGCAGUUUCUACACAGCUCUGGGAAAUAACCCUGUGAAAGAGGAACUAAACCCUCUUGACGUGCUCUUGUUAGAAUAGAUCGCCAAAGCACCACAUGAAACACAAGAACACCAUGUUUUUGUGGUGAAAGAAUAUGUAAAAUAAUACAGCCAGAUGGCCUUCUGAAUGCCACAUCGCCUUGCUCACACUGAACACUGGGAACUUUCUAGUGUGGGCUUUUGUGCACAGUGCUGAAAGUGUGCAUUCAUUCUCACAGGAGAGCAUCAGCUGCUGCAGGGAAGCAGGUCUAAUCCUGUAUCAGUGGAG
Molecule: long non-coding RNA, 2450 nt
Organism: Seriola dumerili (greater amberjack)
Lineage: Eukaryota; Metazoa; Chordata; Actinopteri; Carangiformes; Carangidae
Exons: 3
Source: RefSeq, a predicted model, not a curated record